RNAcentral lists this small RNA (204 nucleotides) under Histoplasma capsulatum. RNAcentral describes it as "hypothetical RNA". The record is from RNAcentral. Lineage: Eukaryota; Fungi; Ascomycota; Eurotiomycetes; Onygenales; Ajellomycetaceae. RNAcentral also lists the same sequence under 1 other name.
CCGUCAAGAGAUGACCAAGCGUUAUCACAAAAACUCCUCUUGGUCGGUCGCGUAUUCUAUGCUCUUUUUCUCUGGUCCAUGAAACUUUGCUUGCUACGAUUCUAUAAGCGACUGGAAACUGGAUCCAACAAAGUCCAUUACUCUCUCCAGUUCCUGCGGGCUUUCAUUGUGUCAACUUUCUUUGCUACCCUGGUAGCGACAUUG